Molecule: ribosomal RNA, 253 nt
Filed under: uncultured bacterium
Lineage: Bacteria
Description: partial 16S ribosomal RNA
Rfam family: Bacterial small subunit ribosomal RNA
Source: RNAcentral
UACGUAGGUGACAAGCGUUGUCCGGAUUUACUGGGCGUAAAGAGCGCGCAGGCGGUCGAUCAAGUCGAGUGUGAAAGCCCCCGGCUCAACUGGGGAGGGUCAUUCGAUACUGAUCGACUCGAAGGCAGGAGAGGGUUGUGGAAUUCCCAGUGUAGAGGUGAAAUUCGUAGAUAUUAGGAAGAACACCAGUGGCGAAGGCGGCUCACUGGUCCGGUACUGACGCUGAGGUGCGAAAGCGUGGGGAGCAAACAGG